GUGAGCGGGAAAGCUCAAUUUAAAAUCUGACGGUCUUUAUGGCCUUCCGAGUUGUAAUCUAGAGAAGUGCUAUCCGCGCUGGACCGUGUACAAGUCUCCUGGAACGGAGCGUCAUAGAGGGUGAGAAUCCCGUCUUUGCCACGGACUACCAGGGCUUAUGUGAUGCGCUCUCAAAGAGUCGAGUUGUUUGGGAAUGCAGCUCUAAAUGGGUGGUAAAUUCCAUCUAAAGCUAAAUAUUGGCGAGAGACCGAUAGCGAACAAGUACCGUGAGGGAAAGAUGAAAAGAACUUUGGAAAGAGAGUUAAACAGUACGUGAAAUUGUUGAAAGGGAAACGCUUGAAGUCAGUCGCGUUGACCAGGAAUCAGCCUUGCUUUUGCUUGGCGCACUUUCUGGUUAAUGGGUCAGCAUCAAUUUUGGUCGGUGGAUAAAGGUCAGGAGAAGGUGGCAUCUUCGGAUGUGUUUAUAGCUCUUGGUUGCAUACAUCGAUUGGGAUUGAGGAACUCAGCACGCCGCAAGGCCGGGUGUUUACACCACGUUACGUGCUUAGGAUGUUGGCAUAAUGGCUUUAAUCGACCCGUCUG
Molecule: ribosomal RNA, 582 nt
Filed under: Tricholoma magnivelare
Lineage: Eukaryota; Fungi; Basidiomycota; Agaricomycetes; Agaricales; Tricholomataceae
Description: eukaryotic LSU rRNA
Rfam family: Eukaryotic large subunit ribosomal RNA
Source: RNAcentral